RNAcentral lists this ribosomal RNA (477 nucleotides) under uncultured bacterium. Its description in RNAcentral is "bacterial SSU rRNA". It matches the Rfam family "Bacterial small subunit ribosomal RNA", at positions 335 to 799 of the family's 1533-position model. The record is from RNAcentral.
ACUCCUACGGGAGGCAGCAGUGGGGAAUAUUGCACAAUGGGCGCAAGCCUGAUGCAGCCAUGCCGCGUGUGUGAAGAAGGCCUUCGGGUUGUAAAGCACUUUCUAGUUGUUGAGGAAGGUGGUGUCGUUAAUAAGCGGCAUCAUUUGUACGUUAGCAACAGAAGAAGCACCGGCUAACUCCGUGCCAGCAGCCGCGGUAAUACGGAGGGUGCGAGCGUUAAUCGGAAUUACUGGGCGUAAAGCGCAUGCAGGUGGUUUGUUAAGUCAGAUGUGAAAGCCCGGGGCUCAACCUCGGAACUGCAUUUGAAACUGGCAGACUAGAGUACUGUAGAGGGGGUAGAAUUUCAGGUGUAGCGGUGAAAUGCGUAGAGAUCUGAAGGAAUACCGGUGGCGAAGGCGGCCCCCUGGACAGAUACUGACACUCAGAUGCGAAAGCGUGGGGAGCGAAACAGGAUUAGAUACCCUGGUAGCACAGAG